RNAcentral lists this ribosomal RNA (492 nucleotides) under uncultured bacterium. Its description in RNAcentral is "partial 16S ribosomal RNA". It matches the Rfam family "Bacterial small subunit ribosomal RNA", at positions 29 to 507 of the family's 1533-position model. The record is from RNAcentral.
AGUGAACGCUGGCGGUAGGCCUAACACAUGCAAGUCGAACGGCAGCACAGUAAGAGCUUGCUCUUACGGGUGGCGAGUGGCGGACGGUUGAGGAAUACAUAGGAAUCUACUUUUUCUUGGGGGAUAACGUAGGGAAACUUACGCUAAUACCGCAUACGACCUACGGGUGAAAGCAGGGGAUCUUCGGACCUUGCUCGAUUGAAUGAGCCGAUGUCGGAUUAGCUAGUUGGCGGGGUAAAGGCCCACCAAGGCGACGAUCCGUAGCUGGUCUGAGAGGAUGAUCAGCCACACUGGAACUGAGACACGGUCCAGACUCCUACGGGAGGCAGCAGUGGGGAAUAUUGGACAAUGGGCGCAAGCCUGAUCCAGCCAUACCGCGUGGGUGAAGAAGGCCUUCGGGUUGUAAAGCCCUUUUGUUGGGAAAGAAAAGCAGCAGGUUAAUACCCCGCUGUUCUGACGGUACCCAAAGAAUAAGCACCGGCUAACUUCGUG